AAGAAUUAUAUGCUAAUGAAGAAAAUGAAAGUAAGAGAAUAAAGCUGUUGUUGUGUGAGAUUGAAGGCAUUGAAAAGGGAAUUUCUGACCUCCAAGGUAACCAAAAUAACAUAAGGCAACAUGCAUCAGAACUUCAAACAUUUUUAGCAUUAAAGCACAUUGAAAAAGAGGUUUCUGAUAAAGCAGAAUGUAUUCAGUCUGUCCUUAAGAACGAGGACAUGAAGAUAAAAACACUGGCUUUGGAGGUUAACAAAGACGUACAAAACAUUUGCAGGGCUGAUUGUUUUGGGUCCGUUAGUGUUGAAUUCAAAAUCGUGCAAAGUUGUUAUUGACAGUAACAAAAACAAAGAAGCUCAGAUGAUGAUACCUAGUUUAAUUUCCAAAUGCAUAGAUGAUAUCAAACUAAGCAACAAAAUGCAAAUUGAUUUGCAAUCUGCUGGAGAUGUGUUACAGGUUGCGCAAUUCUACCAAAUGGCAAGAUGAUGUUCUGUGAUUAUAAUAAUCGAAAUUUAAUUGUGUUGAAAAGCAACGGUAUGCAUGAGUUUGAAAUUCGGCUAGAUACACGCGCAUUUGAUUUAGCAUAUUUUGAAAGAGAAAAUUCCAUUGCCGUUACAAGUGGUUAUGGUUCAAAUGUUAUUCACAUUAUUGACCCUAACAGCAGAACAAUCAAGAGAACUAUACAAAGUAGUGAAUAUCCAUAUGGUAUAGCACUGAAUAAAACUGUCCUGGUAUACUGUAAGUUAGGUAAAGGAAUAAUGGAAGUUCAAUUGAAUGGUGAAUCAGAAAAGGCACUUGUUAGCUUUAGUAUGCCACACUAUUCGUAUGUUGCAGUGCAUGGUGACAAUACGUAUUAUACAAAUAAAGACAACCAUUCUGUAACAUGCUAUGAUAUCCUUGGAAACUUAUAAAUGGGAAUUUAAGGAUACACAAAAUCUGCAAUAUCCACAGGGUAUAUCUGUAGACAACAAUGGAAACGUGUAUGUUGUCAGUAGGGAUACAAACAGCGUUGUCAUCAUUAACCCCUGAUGGAAAGCGUUGCAGAACAAUAUUGUCCUCUCGUGAUGGCCUUAAGUACUCCACGUGCAUUGCAUUUCGAACCAACAAGUAACAAGUUGUUAGUUGCCAAUGAAAACAAGAUCGCAUUUCUAUUUGAUGUUUCCUAAAACAACUACUGUGAAUUUUUAACUCUGAACCUAUUUGUUAUAUAUUUGUAUGUUACUAUAUUAUGUAUAUACAGAUAAUUAUAUUCAGAUUAGUAUGAACCGUCUGGAAUAUAUGUAAAUAGUUAAAUGAGGUAAAAAAGAUUCAAGGCAUUUCUCUAUUUAAUAAAAAGUUUUUUUUAAAUUAAUUGAAAGCUCAUUUAUCUAGUAUAAUUAUGUAUUGUAUGAAAUUAUGUAAUAAAUUGAAAAAAAAUAUGACAAAACUUUUUAGGAUAUUUUGGUCCUCAAUGCAUUCAACUUCGUACUUUAUUUGGCUUUGUUAACUUGAUUCGAACGUCACUGUUAAGUUCUUUUGUAGACGAAACCUGCGUCUGGCGCAAAUACAAAAUUUCUAAGAACAAUAUGCAAUUAGAAAAAUUAAACUCAUUUUUGUAUCUACAAAAACAUAGAUUUGUACAAAUAAAUAACACUUGAAGAUUAUAAAUGACACAAGUGAUCAGGUCUAUAAAUAUCUAUCAGUCGUCAAUUUCUCCUUAGAGUUGCCACUGAAGGAAAAUUAAUUUUAAAUGGGUCCGUUAUACAUACAGUGGAUAGACUAUUGAUGAUAGAUCGACCAACAAGUUUUAACAACUGUGAAAUAUAGAUUAUAAAAAUUGUAUUUGAUUUAGAUUGACUGCAUUUGAUAUGUCUGUAUAUAUUGAUCAAUUGUUACAGAGGUUCUUGUCCCAUUCGAGAAGAAAGGCUUAGAAGUGCAUAGAGGGCAUACUUUCAAAACCACU
RNAcentral lists this long non-coding RNA (1939 nucleotides) under Mytilus galloprovincialis (Mediterranean mussel). The record is from RNAcentral. Lineage: Eukaryota; Metazoa; Mollusca; Bivalvia; Mytilida; Mytilidae.